CAAAAGAGAACCUAAAAUUUGUACUCAGUCAUCCUCAGGCUCUUGUUCAAUGUGAGAUGAUGCUUACUGAUUUAGCUGUUACCAACAUUGGUGUAGAUGAUACUGCUGCAGCUGCUAAGGCUGUGGCCUUAGACGGAAGAAGAGACAUUGGAGCUAUUGCGAGUUCAAGGGCAGCAAAACUAUAUGGCCUCCACAUUCUAGCCGAAGGAAUCCAGG
Molecule: small RNA, 216 nt
Filed under: Vigna angularis var. angularis
Lineage: Eukaryota; Viridiplantae; Streptophyta; Magnoliopsida; Fabales; Fabaceae
Description: Non-protein coding transcript
Source: RNAcentral